ACCGAUUAUAUUGUCCUGUCACAGCAGUACUGUUACAAAUUUACUGUUGUUUCGGGACAUUUACAUUGAU
This is a non-coding RNA of Aedes aegypti (yellow fever mosquito), 70 nucleotides long. The record is from Rfam. Lineage: Eukaryota; Metazoa; Arthropoda; Insecta; Diptera; Culicidae.